GCAGUGCUUCAGGCUUCAGCAGCCUUGGAGAAGCAUCAGCUGAGAGGAGCUAUCACAUGGGAGCCGGGACUGCUCAGCAAAGGUAGGAGUUGCCGACUAGGCCAGGAAUGGGGGCCAGACCCAGGGCCUGGUGGUGAGUGCCAAGGUAUAGCCACAGAAGGGUGGCUUUCCAAGGACCAGCCCUGCCUACAUUCUGAUGGAUUUAUGAGGAAACUGAAAUUCAGAAGAUUCACAGAGUUAGUAAUGCCCAGAACUGGGACUAGAAACUAAAUUUUGUGCUCCUUCUACUCCCCAGCAGCUCUUGCCAUUCUGAGGAGACAAGAAAUCAGGAAAUUUACAUAAGGAACCCUAAAACUGAGGCACUAUCCCAGAGAUCAGCAGGACCCUGGGAAGGAGAAACAGGAUUUAGAAUCCCCGGCUAACAGUUCUGGAAAGGGUAGAAGGGUAUGGAAAACAAGAAUGGCAGAAAGGAGAUGGAAAAGGAAGAGGUGAAGGCCAUUCCGAAAGCGGAGUGUUGAGUGGGUCAGGCUCCUGCACCUCUCACGUCUCCUGCUUCUUAGCAGUCACCAAGGCAGACCCUGGAGCUACCUCCGGUCAGAAAGGGGAUGAGCUUCUGAUCCUUCAGCUGCCUGGCCUGGCGCUCUGUACGCAGACAAACCUGCCCAAGAGGCUCCAGUGGGAGGUGCCCCCUACGAAACCAGGAAGCCUGGGCCUGGGCUCGCCAUCCCAGGGUCGCUGGACUAGGAUGGGGGAUGGGCCUGUGACAGGAGGUACCCUGGGUGCCCUCUUUCGGCCCCAUGGAGUCCUCACCCAUCCCCCAGUCAUCAGGGAACUCUUCCACUUUGGGGAGGGUCCCUCAAACCCCAGGUCCCUCUACUGCCAGUGGGGUCCCGGAGGUGGGGCUACGGGAUGUUGCUUCGGAAUCUGUGGCUCUCUUCUUCAUGCUCCUGCUGGACUUGACUGCUGUGGCUGGCAAUGCCGCUGUGAUGGCUGUGAUCGCCAAGACGCCUGCCCUCCGAAAAUUUGUCUUCGUCUUCCACCUCUGCCUGGUGGACCUGCUGGCUGCCCUGACCCUCAUGCCCCUGGCCAUGCUCUCCAGCUCCGCCCUCUUUGACCACGCCCUCUUUGGGGAGGUGGCCUGCCGCCUCUACUUGUUUCUGAGCGUGUGCUUUGUCAGCCUGGCCAUCCUCUCGGUGUCAGCCAUCAAUGUGGAGCGCUACUAUUACGUGGUCCACCCCAUGCGCUACGAGGUGCGCAUGACGCUGGGGCUGGUGGCCUCUGUGCUGGUGGGUGUGUGGGUGAAGGCCUUGGCCAUGGCUUCUGUGCCAGUGUUGGGAAGGGUCUCCUGGGAGGAAGGAGCUCCCAGUGUCCCCCCAGGCUGUUCACUCCAAUGGAGCCACAGUGCCUACUGCCAGCUUUUUGUGGUGGUCUUUGCUGUCCUUUACUUUCUGUUGCCCCUGCUCCUCAUCCUUGUGGUCUACUGCAGCAUGUUCCGAGUGGCCCGCGUGGCUGCCAUGCAGCACGGGCCGCUGCCCACGUGGAUGGAGACACCCCGGCAACGCUCCGAAUCUCUCAGCAGCCGCUCCACGAUGGUCACCAGCUCGGGGGCCCCCCAGACCACCCCACACCGGACGUUUGGGGGAGGGAAAGCAGCAGUGGUUCUCCUGGCUGUGGGGGGACAGUUCCUGCUCUGUUGGUUGCCCUACUUCUCUUUCCACCUCUAUGUUGCCCUGAGUGCUCAGCCCAUUUCAACUGGGCAGGUGGAGAGUGUGGUCACCUGGAUUGGCUACUUUUGCUUCACUUCCAACCCUUUCUUCUAUGGAUGUCUCAACCGGCAGAUCCGGGGGGAGCUCAGCAAGCAGUUUGUCUGCUUCUUCAAGCCAGGUCCAGAGGAGGAGCUGAGGCUGCCUAGCCGGGAGGGCUCCAUUGAGGAGAACUUCCUGCAGUUCCUUCAGGGGACUGGCUGUCCUUCUGAGUCCUGGGUUUCCCGACCCCUACCCAGCCCCAAGCAGGAGCUACCUGCUGUUGACUUUCGAAUCCCAGGCCAGAUAGCUGAGGAGACCUCUGAGUUCCUGGAGCAGCAACUCACCAGCGACAUCAUCAUGUCAGACAGCUACCUCCGUCCUGCCGCCUCACCCCGGCUGGAGUCAUGAUGGGCCGCUGGACACUCGGAGGGAUAUGGGGCUGGGGCCAGUUAUGAUUGCAAGGACCACCUUGUGGGAUCACCUUUUCCCAGCUGGCUAGGGCUGAGGCUGGGGUCUCUGCACACAGCUUUUGCUUAGUGUUUCCUGGGUCAGGAACAGAGCCAACAGGAUGAACGUGUGCAAAAACCUUGGACUUGGCUGUGAUCUUUGACUGCUAGGGGAGGGAACCUGGGUAUGGUGAGACGGUGACGAGAGAAAAGGGUCACAAAGGACUGGCCUCCCUGAUCUCUCUCCUCAUGGCAGCGACCCAUCUCCAGUCCCCUGGACAAUCGGGUACAAGAGACUUAAGGUUGGGCAUGGGAAGGGCGGGGCUUCCAUGAUCCAUUAAAUGCCUUCCUACUCCCAUUCAUCGCUCUCAAAAUUAGCUUCAGUGACAAAGACUUAAAUCUCUCUCCUAUCUGCAGCAAUGGGUUGGAGAGAGGGCAUGGGAGUUGGUCUUGGCUGUUCAUUGAUUGAGACUGUAGGAACUGUGUUGGUUGGUAUUGGUGGUGGUAUUUUCAAGAAACAGGGAAUAACUGCAAACUGGACAGGACACCCAUCUGGGACCACCUGUCCAUCCUACUUCCCUCAAUUGAAUCAGGAGUGGAUCAUGAAGGAAAUAAAAAUUUCUUUUAUUAUGCUGAGAACUUUCCCAACAAUUUCUACUAUGACCACCUUCCAGGAGUUUUCUAGUCACCAGAUGCCUUGGUAAAGUUCAAUAUGUAAUCUUUGGCUCUGAAAGCUGUUCCUGGACAAAAUCUGAGCUAACUCACUGAAGAAUCAACAGAUUGAGGCAACCAUCCGGUCAGUUACUUUUUCCUGCAUCCUGCUGGUGUUGGGGUAACUCCCAAUCCUAGAUGAAAACCUUAGACUUUCUGUUGUCAGGUGUCCCCAGGCAAUAUCCUACAGGGGCAUGAUAGAAAAGGGUAACUCUGGGGUCAGAUAGAUGUACUUACUCACUGUGUGAAGUUGGGAAAGCUGCUUAAUUUCUCUGAGCCUACUUCCUCACCUGUAAAAAUGGGGAUCAUUAUUACCUACCUCACAGGGUUGUUGUGAGGAUUAAGAGAUGGGAUGUGGGAGCACCUAGCCGUAUGUGGCAAAUAGGUACUCAAUAAAUACUGGUUUUACUUCC
Gorilla gorilla gorilla (western lowland gorilla) is the source of this 3315-nucleotide RNA transcript. It is a transcript of the gene named G protein-coupled receptor 61, with no coding region annotated. The record is from RefSeq and is a predicted model, not a curated record. NCBI's taxonomy places the organism in Eukaryota, Metazoa, Chordata, Mammalia, Primates, Hominidae. The transcript is spliced from 4 exons.